Molecule: ribosomal RNA, 459 nt
Filed under: uncultured bacterium
Lineage: Bacteria
Description: partial 16S ribosomal RNA
Rfam family: Bacterial small subunit ribosomal RNA
Source: RNAcentral
CCUACGGGAGGCAGCAGUGAGGAAUAUUGGUCAAUGGGCGCGAGCCUGAACCAGCCAAGUCGCGUGAGGGAAGACGGUCCUAUGGAUUGUAAACCUCUUUUGUCGGGGAGCAAAAGACGCCACGCGUGGCGUUCCGAGUGUACCCUACGAACAAGCAUCGGCUAACCCCGUGCCAGCAGCCGCGGUAAUACGGGGGAUGCGAGCGUUAUCCGGAUUUAUUGGGUUUAACGGGUGCGCAGGCGGAAGAUCAAGUCAGCGGUAAAAUUGAGAGGCUCAACCUCUUCGAGCCGUUGAAACUGGUUGGCUUGAGUGAGCGAGAGGGAGGCGGAAUGCGUGGUGUAGCGGUGAAAUGCAUAGAUAUCACGCAGAACUCCGGUUGCGAAGGCAGCAUACCGGAGCUCAACUGACGCUCAUGCACGAAAGUGUGGGUAUCGAACAGGAUUAGAUACCCGGGUAGUC